UACAGAGGGUGCGAGCGUUGUCCGGAAUCACUGGGCGUAAAGGGCGCGUAGGCGGCCUGAUAAGUAGGGGGUGAAAUCCUGUGGCUUAACUGCAGGGCUGCCUCCUAGACUGUUAGGCUCGAGCACGGUAGAGGCAGAUGGAAUUCCCGGUGUAGCGGUGGAAUGCGUAGAGAUCGGGAAGAACAUCGGUGGCGAAGGCGGUCUGCUGGGCCGUUGCUGACGCUGAGGCGCGACAG
Molecule: ribosomal RNA, 236 nt
Filed under: uncultured bacterium
Lineage: Bacteria
Description: partial 16S ribosomal RNA
Rfam family: Bacterial small subunit ribosomal RNA
Source: RNAcentral